UAGCUUUUUCAAGCAGAACAAAUACGAAUUUACAGUAAAAAGGUUCAGUACAGGACCAUAUUCUUAACAUGCAAUGAAAGUUUCUUGCCUAUUUCAAUUCUUUUGAUCUAGUUUAUCUUUGUAAAGAGCAUGUCUUCCUCUUUUGUCAUUCUUGAGAUGGAUAUUGUGAUUCAACAAAAGGAGCAUCACAAAUAUUUCUACCAAAAUAUGAAUCUUUCAGGCUCGAAUCAAACAGGGAGCAAACAGGACUUCUUCGUGAACUUACCUGUUCAUGGAGUUGAAUCAAAAAGAGAGAAAACAGGGAAUCAAACUGAAGUGUAGCAUCUCAAAUAUUUACAAUCACUGAAAACUAUCUACCCAAUUAUGAAUGGUUCAUACCAGACCAAGGAGAACUGUACUUUUUAUGACUGUAGAUGAAAAUUUUACAGAAUAAUUUGGGAAAAGCUGGCACAUACCUCAGGUGUAGCACGUUCGGACAGCGGAUGUUGUUCCGCCUCAGGUCAGGUGUAGCAGGCUCGGACGGCGGAGGUUCUUCCGGCUAAUUCGGCGCGAUAUUGGACGGUUCUUCGAAAGUUGUGAUGCGAGGUGAUUUACUGGGGAUUUCCGUCAAGGGCUCGGUCUUAUGGCAUCCAAAUCCCUGUGGAGUUCGGGCUGGGCACUCCGUCUUGGAGAAGUUGUCCCGCACGAACACGGACACCGACUUCGAUGCAAAUUGGAGAUAGACGGCAGCAGGAGGUUGGAGGUAGAGGAGGCUGUGGUGGCGCCGGAGAAGAUUGGGGGCGGACGGGGAGGGGAAGAGCAACAGGGCGGCGGCAAGUCGGUGAGGAAGACCAGCCGCGCGUGGCGGCGGCGGCGCCGCCGGUGCCGUCGAGUAGAGGUGUGCUUGUGUAUUUUUUUGGGCCAACUGC
This 908-nucleotide long non-coding RNA is filed under the name Triticum aestivum (bread wheat). RNAcentral's name for it is "long non-coding RNA (TAES_LNC021223)". The record is from RNAcentral. Lineage: Eukaryota; Viridiplantae; Streptophyta; Magnoliopsida; Poales; Poaceae.